RNAcentral lists this ribosomal RNA (421 nucleotides) under uncultured archaeon. RNAcentral describes it as "partial 16S ribosomal RNA". It matches the Rfam family "Archaeal small subunit ribosomal RNA", at positions 323 to 746 of the family's 1478-position model. The record is from RNAcentral.
CUACGGGAUGCAGCAGUUAGGAAUAUUCUGCAAUGCGCGCAAGCGUGACAGAUUGAGCCAGAGUGCGUUUCUAUUGAAAUGCUUUUGCUUAGUGUAAAAAGCUAGGCGAAUAAGGACUGGGUAAGACUAGUGCCAGCCGCCGCGGUAAUACUAGCGGUCCAAGUCGCAGCCAUUUUUAUUGGGUCUAAAACAUCCGUAGCUUGCUUGAUAAGUUUCUUGUGAAAUUUUGUAUCUCAAAUACAGAGCGUGCAAGAAGUACUGUUGAGCUAGAGACUGGAAGACGGAAGAAGUAUGUUCGAAGUACUAGUAAAAUGGGUUAAUCUCGGACAGACUAUCAAUAGCGAAGGCAUCUUUCGAGGACAGUUCUGACAGUAAGGGAUGAAGGCUAGGGGCGCAAAACGGAUUAGAUACCCCGGUAGUC